GAUGAACGCUGGCGGCGUGCCUAAUACAUGCAAGUCGAGCGAACAGAUGAGGAGCUUGCUCCUCUGACGUUAGCGGCGGACGGGUGAGUAACACGUGGAUAACCUACCUAUAAGACUGGGAUAACUUCGGGAAACCGGAGCUAAUACCGGAUAAUAUAUUGAACCGCAUGGUUCAAUAGUGAAAGACGGUUUUGCUGUCACUUAUAGAUGGAUCCGCGCCGCAUUAGCUAGUUGGUAAGGUAACGGCUUACCAAGGCAACGAUGCGUAGCCGACCUGAGAGGGUGAUCGGCCACACUGGAACUGAGACACGGUCCAGACUCCUACGGGAGGCAGCAGUAGGGAAUCUUCCGCAAUGGGCGAAAGCUUGACGGAGCAACGCCGCGUGAGUGAUGAAGGUCUUCGGAUCGUAAAACUCUGUUAUUAGGGAAGAACAAAUGUGUAAGUAACUAUGCACGUCUUGACGGUACCUAAUCAGAAAGCCACGGCGAACUACGU
Molecule: ribosomal RNA, 496 nt
Filed under: uncultured bacterium
Lineage: Bacteria
Description: partial 16S ribosomal RNA
Rfam family: Bacterial small subunit ribosomal RNA
Source: RNAcentral